RNAcentral lists this ribosomal RNA (502 nucleotides) under uncultured bacterium. Its description in RNAcentral is "partial 16S ribosomal RNA". It matches the Rfam family "Bacterial small subunit ribosomal RNA", at positions 28 to 507 of the family's 1533-position model. The record is from RNAcentral.
GACGAACGCUGGCGGCGUGCCUAAUACAUGCAAGUCGAACGAACCGCGACUAAGUGCUUGCACUAAGUCAAGGUGAGUGGCGAACGGGUGAGUAACACGUGGGUAACCUACCUCAUAGUGGGGGAUAACAGUCGGAAACGACUGCUAAUACCGCAUAGGACAUAGGAUCACAUGAUCCAGUGAGGAAAGGUGGCGCAAGCUAUCGCUAAGAGAUGGACCCGCGGGGAAUUAGCUAGUUGGUAGGGUAAAGGCCUACCAAGGCGAUGAUGCAUAGCCGACCUGAGAGGGUGAUCGGCCACAUUGGGACUGAGACACGGCCCAAACUCCUACGGGAGGCAGCAGUAGGGAAUCUUCCGCAAUGGACGCAAGUCUGACGGAGCAACGCCGCGUGAGUGAAGAAGGUCUUCGGAUCGUAAAGCUCUGUUGUUAGAGAAGAACAGCGCAUAGAGUAACUGCUAUGCGUGUGACGGUAUCUAACCAGAAAGCCACGGCUAACUACGUG